RNAcentral lists this ribosomal RNA (446 nucleotides) under uncultured bacterium. RNAcentral describes it as "partial 16S ribosomal RNA". It matches the Rfam family "Bacterial small subunit ribosomal RNA", at positions 338 to 795 of the family's 1533-position model. The record is from RNAcentral.
CCUACGGGUGGCAGCAGUCGAGAAUCAUUCACAAUGGGGGAAACCCUGAUGGUGCGACGCCGCGUGCGGGAAUGAAGGUCUUCGGAUUGUAAACCCCUGUCAUGUGGGAGCAAAUCAAAAAGAUAGUACCACAAGAGGAAGAGACGGCUAACUCUGUGCCAGAAGCCGCGGUAAUACAGAGGUCUCAAGCGUUGUUCGGAAUCACUGGGCGUAAAGCGUGCGUAGGCUGUUUCGUAAGUCGUGUGUGAAAGGCGCGGGCUCAACCCGCGGACGGCACAUGAUACUGCGGGACUAGAGUAAGGGAGGGGGAACCGGAAUUCGCGGUGUAGCAGUGAAAUGCGUAGAUAUCGAGAGGAACACUCGUGGCGAAGGCGGGUUCCUGGACAUUAACUGACGCUGAGGCACGAAGGCCAGGGGAGCGAAAGGGAUUAGAUACCCCUGUAGUC